RNAcentral lists this long non-coding RNA (1019 nucleotides) under Pan troglodytes (chimpanzee). RNAcentral's name for it is "long non-coding RNA NONPTRT010298". Lineage: Eukaryota; Metazoa; Chordata; Mammalia; Primates; Hominidae. The record is from RNAcentral.
AAGGAGGUGAAUGUUGGCUUUAUGCCUGCAGACACAACAUCCAUUCUGCAGCCGAUGGGUCAGGAUUAAUUUUGACUUUCGAGCCUUAUUAUUUAAGAAAUAUAUUUCAUGAGGCUACAUCUGCCAUAGAGAGUGAUUCCUCUGAUGGACCUGGACAUAGUAAAUUGAAAAUCUUAUGGGAAGGAUUCACCAUUCCAGUUGCCAUUAAGUACAUUAGUGAUUCAUGGCAGGAGGUCAGAAUGUCAACAUUAACAAGAAUUUGGAAUACAUUGAUUGCAACCCUACCCAAAUGGAUGAGGAGUUGCUUCUUAGGGCUGAGCAAAGCAGGUGGUUUCUUGAGAUAAAAUCAACUCCUGGUGAAGAUGCUGUGAACAUUGUUGAAAUGACAACAUAGGAUUUAGAAUAUUCCAUAAACCUAGGUGAUAAAGCAGUGACUUCCUUGUCUUAUUUUAAGAAAUUUCCACAGCCACCCCAGGCUCCAGCAACCACCACUCAGAUCAGUCAGCAGCCAUCGGCAUCAAGGCAAGACCCUCCGCCAGCAAAAAGAUUAGGACGCCCUGAAGGCUCGGUUGAUCGUUCUCAUUUUUUAGCAAUAAAAUAUUUUUAAAUUAAGGUAUAUACAUUGAUUUUUAGACAUAACACUAUUGCACAUUUAAUAUUCCAUAACUUUUUGUCAAAUAUUUAUGUAUUUAUUUAAACACCUACUCAACAAUUGAUUUUUGCGCCUCUCGCGCAGACAUGAAGGAAGCAAUAUUGCAUUUCUCUAAAACAGAAAAAAAAAAGUUCUGCAACUCAGACCUUAGCGACAAGUGCAGUGACCAGGCAUGGCUGCAUUUGAAGACACUCCAGCAAAAACGCAUGCAUUUUCCACUGGGCAAGGAGGGGAAGCAUUGGGGGCAUGCGUGAGCUUCCCUCUGCCUUAUCAGACACUCCCUGCUUGGGGCCCAGCUGGAAAUGGGUUGAAGCCUUUUCAGCAAAACAGCUCGUCGUUCACCUCAAAUGAGUGAUAUGGUCAUUAA